UACGAAGGGUGCAAGCGUUACUCGGAAUUACUGGGCGUAAAGCGUGCGUAGGUGGUUUGUUAAGUCUGAUGUGAAAGCCCUGGGCUCAACCUGGGAACGGCAUUGGAAACUGGCUUACUAGAGUGCGGUAGAGGGGUGUGGAAUUCCCGGUGUAGCAGUGAAAUGCGUAGAUAUCGGGAGGAACAUCUGUGGCGAAGGCGACACCCUGGACCAGCACUGACACUGAGGCACGAAAGCGUGGGGAGCAAAUAGG
RNAcentral lists this ribosomal RNA (253 nucleotides) under uncultured bacterium. RNAcentral's name for it is "partial 16S ribosomal RNA". It matches the Rfam family "Bacterial small subunit ribosomal RNA", at positions 524 to 776 of the family's 1533-position model. The record is from RNAcentral.